GAGGAAUAUUGGUCAAUGGACGAGAGUCUGAACCAGCCAAGUAGCGUGAAGGAUGACUGCCCUAUGGGUUGUAAACUUCUUUUAUACGGGAAUAAAGUUAGCCACGUGUGGCUUUUUGUAUGUACCGUAUGAAUAAGGAUCGGCUAACUCCGUGCCAGCAGCCGCGGUAAUACGGAGGAUCCGAGCGUUAUCCGGAUUUAUUGGGUUUAAAGGGAGCGUAGGCGGGUUGUUAAGUCAGUUGUGAAAGUUUGCGGCUCAACCGUAAAAUUGCAGUUGAUACUGGCGACCUUGAGUGCAACAGAGGUAGGCGGAAUUCGUGGUGUAGCGGUGAAAUGCUUAGAUAUCACGAAGAACUCCGAUUGCGAAGGCAGCUUACUGGAUUGUAACUGACGCUGAUGCUCGAAAGUGUGGGUAUCAAACAGGAUUAGAUACCCUGGUAGUCCACACAGUAAACGAUGAAUACUCGCUGUUGGCGAUAUACGGUCAGCGGCCAAGCGAAAGCAUUAAGUAUUCCACCUGGGGAGUACGCCGGCAACGGUGAAACUCAAAGGAAUUGACGGGGGCCCGCACAAGCGGAGGAACAUGUGGUUUAAUUCGAUGAUACGCGAGGAACCUUACCCGGGCUUAAAUUGCAACUGACUGAACCGGAAACGGUUCUUUCUUCGGACAGUUGUGAAGGUGCUGUAUGGUUGUCGUCAGCUCGUGCCGUGAGGUGUCGGCUUAAGUGCCAUAACGAGCGCAACCCUUAUCGAUAGUUACUAGCAGGUCAUGCUGAGGACUCUAUUGAGACUGCCGUCGUAAGAUGUGAGGAAGAUGGGGAUGACGUCAAAUCAGCACGGCCCUUACGUCCGGGGCUACACACGUGUUACAAUGGGGGGUACAGAAGGCAGCUACACGGCGACGUGGUGCUAAUCCCGAAAGCCUCUCUCAGUUCGGAUUGGAGUCUGCAACCCGACUCCAUGAAGCUGGAUUCGCUAGUAAUCGCGCAUCAGCCACGGCGCGGUGAAUACGUUCCCG
RNAcentral lists this ribosomal RNA (1017 nucleotides) under uncultured organism. Its description in RNAcentral is "bacterial SSU rRNA". It matches the Rfam family "Bacterial small subunit ribosomal RNA", at positions 356 to 1376 of the family's 1533-position model. The record is from RNAcentral.